This 419-nucleotide ribosomal RNA is filed under the name uncultured bacterium. RNAcentral's name for it is "bacterial SSU rRNA". It matches the Rfam family "Bacterial small subunit ribosomal RNA", at positions 359 to 776 of the family's 1533-position model. The record is from RNAcentral.
GAAUAUUGGGCAAUGGGCGCAAGCCUGACCCAGCCAUGCCGCGUGAAGGAAGAAGGCCUUCUGGGUUGUAAACUUCUUUUGAUCGGGAACAAAUAGCUCUUGCGAGAGCAGUUGAGUGUACCGAUAGAAUAAGCACCGGCUAACUCCGUGCCAGCAGCCGCGGUAAUACGGAGGGUGCAAGCGUUGUCCGGAUUUAUUGGGUUUAAAGGGUGCGUAGGCGGUCUUUUAAGUCAGUGGUGAAAGCCAACAGCUCAACUGUUGAACUGCCAUUGAUACUGGAAGACUUGAGUACAGACGAGGUAGGCGGAAUUUAUGGUGUAGCGGUGAAAUGCAUAGAUACCAUAAAGAACACCGAUUGCGAAGGCAGCUUACUAGGCUGUAACUGACGCUGAGGCACGAAAGCGUGGGGAUCAAACAGG